GUUUGUCAUUGGCAGCACAUAAACUAAAACUGGAGUGAUACAGAGAGAUUUUCAUAGUCCCUGCACAAAGAUGACAAGGACAGUUGUGAAACAUUCUAUAUUUAU
This is a small nuclear RNA of Arvicanthis niloticus (Nile rat), 105 nucleotides long. NCBI's taxonomy places the organism in Eukaryota, Metazoa, Chordata, Mammalia, Rodentia, Muridae. The record is from RefSeq and is a predicted model, not a curated record.